RNAcentral lists this transfer RNA (72 nucleotides) under Bos taurus (domestic cattle). It matches the Rfam family "tRNA". From Rfam's summary of the family: Transfer RNA (tRNA) molecules are approximately 80 nucleotides in length. Their secondary structure includes four short double-helical elements and three loops (D, anti-codon, and T loops). The record is from Rfam by way of RNAcentral. RNAcentral also lists the same sequence under 2 other names. Lineage: Eukaryota; Metazoa; Chordata; Mammalia; Artiodactyla; Bovidae.
UCCUUGGUGGUUCAGAUGGUAAACCAUCUGCCUGCAAUGCAGGAGAUCCAGGUUCGAUUCCUGGAUCAGAAA